UGAAUGAUCCAGCAAUCUUUGUCUUCAUCAU
This 31-nucleotide non-coding RNA is filed under the name Rattus norvegicus (Norway rat). The record is from RNAcentral. Lineage: Eukaryota; Metazoa; Chordata; Mammalia; Rodentia; Muridae.